Molecule: ribosomal RNA, 304 nt
Filed under: uncultured bacterium
Lineage: Bacteria
Description: bacterial SSU rRNA
Rfam family: Bacterial small subunit ribosomal RNA
Source: RNAcentral
CGGCGGACGGGUGAGUAAUGCCUAGGAAUCUGCCUGGUAGUGGGGGAUAACGUCCGGAAACGGACGCUAAUACCGCAUACGUCCUACGGGAGAAAGCAGGGGACCUUCGGGCCUUGCGCUAUCAAUGAGCCUAGGUCGGAUUAGCUAGUUGGUGGGGUAAUGGCUCACCAAGGCGACGAUCCGUAACCAGUCUCGAGAGGAUGAUCAGUCACACUGGAACUGAGACACGGUCCAGACUCAGACAGGAGGCAGCAGUGGGGAAUAUUGGACUAUGGGCGAAAGCCUGGAUCCAGCCAUGCCGCUU